Molecule: ribosomal RNA, 253 nt
Filed under: uncultured bacterium
Lineage: Bacteria
Description: partial 16S ribosomal RNA
Rfam family: Bacterial small subunit ribosomal RNA
Source: RNAcentral
UACGUAGGUUGCGAGCGUUAUUCGGAUUUACUGGGCGUAAAGCGCACCGAGGUGGCAUCUUAAGUUGGAUGUAAAAUCUCCCGGCUUAACCGGGAGGCGCCAUUCAAAACUGAGAAGCUUGAGACCAACAGGGGAAGGCGGAAUUCCCGGUGUAGUGGUGGAAUGCGUAGAGAUCGGGAGGAACACCAGUGGCGAAAGCGGCCUUCUGGGUUGCGUCUGACACUCUAGUGCGAAAGCGUGGGGAGCAAACAGG